Molecule: ribosomal RNA, 440 nt
Filed under: uncultured bacterium
Lineage: Bacteria
Description: bacterial SSU rRNA
Rfam family: Bacterial small subunit ribosomal RNA
Source: RNAcentral
UUACGGGAGGCAGCAGUGGGGAAUCUUGCACAAUGGGGGCAACCCUGAUGCAGCGACGCCGCGUGAGCGAUGAAGCCCUUCGGGGCGUAAAGCUCUUUCGGCCGGAACGAUAAUGACGGUACCGGAAGAAGAAGCUGCGGCUAACUACGUGCCAGCAGCCGCGGUAAUACGUAGGCAGCAAGCGUUGUUCGGAGUUACUGGGCGUAAAGAGUGCGUAGGCGGUUCUCUAAGUUCGUUGUGAAAUCUCCCGGCUCAACUGGGAGGGUGCGGCGAAGACUGGGGAGCUGGAGUGUGGGAAAGGCAAGCGGAAUUCCUGGUGUAGCGGUGAAAUGCGUAGAUAUCAGGAGGAACACCGGCGGUGUAGACGGCUUGCUAGACCAUGACUGACGCUGAGGCACGAAAGCGUGGGGAGCAAACAGGAUUAGAUACCCUUGUAGUCC